Molecule: ribosomal RNA, 770 nt
Filed under: uncultured bacterium
Lineage: Bacteria
Description: bacterial SSU rRNA
Rfam family: Bacterial small subunit ribosomal RNA
Source: RNAcentral
AGAGUUUGUCAUGGCUCAAAGCGAACGCUGGCGGCACGCCUAACACAUGCAAGUCGAGCGAGAAAGUGACUUCGGUUGCGAGUAAAGCGGCGAACGGGUGAGUACAACGUGGAUAAUCUACCCUAAGGUCCGGGACAACCCCGAGAAAUCGGAGCUAAUACCGGAUAAGACCACAGUAUCCAAGGAUACAGCGGUAAAAGAUUUAUCGCCUUUGGAUGAGUCCACGUCCCAUCAGGUAGUUGGUAAGGUAAAAGCUUACCAAGCCUAAGACGGGUAGCCGGCCUUAGCGGGUGAACGGCCACAUGGGGACUGAGACACGGCCCUGACUCCUACGGGAGGCAGCAGUGGGGAAUAUUGGGCAAUGGGCGAAAGCCUGACCCAGCGAUGCCGCGUGAGGGAUGAAGGCCUUCGGGUUGUAAACCUCUGUCAGGAGGGACGAUGGGACACUUGUGUCUUGACGGUACCUCCAGAGGAAGCCCCGGCUAACUCCGUGCCAGCAGCCGCGGUAAUACGGAGGGGGCAAGCGUUGCUCGGAAUUACUGGGCGUAAAGGGUCCGCAGGCUGUCAGGCAAGUUGGUUGUGAAAGCUCAAGGCUUAACCUUGGAAUUGCAUCCAAAACUGCCUGACUAGAGUCCAAGAGAGGUUGGCGGAAUUCCCCGGUGUAGCGGUGAAAUGCAUAGAUAUCGGGGAGGAACACCAGAGGCGAAGGCGGCCAACUGGCUUGGAACUGACGCUUCAGGGACGAAAGCGUGGGUAGCAAANCNGGAUUA